CAGCAGCCGCGGUAAUACGUAGGGCGCAAGCGUUAUCCGGAAUUAUUGGGCGUAAAGAGCUCGUAGGCGGUUUGUCGCGUCUGCCGUGAAAGUCCGGGGCUCAACCCCGGAUCUGCGGUGGGUACGGGCAGACUAGAGUGAUGUAGGGGAGACUGGAAUUCCUGGUGUAGCGGUGAAAUGCGCAGAUAUCAGGAGGAACACCGAUGGCGAAGGCAGGUCUCUGGGCAUUAACUGACGCUGAGGAGCGAAAGCAUGGGGAGCGAACAGGAUUAGAUACCCCGGUAGUCCCUGUCUCUUAUAC
RNAcentral lists this ribosomal RNA (301 nucleotides) under uncultured bacterium. RNAcentral's name for it is "partial 16S ribosomal RNA". It matches the Rfam family "Bacterial small subunit ribosomal RNA", at positions 509 to 807 of the family's 1533-position model. The record is from RNAcentral.